GGAUUAGAUACCCUGGUAGUCCACGCCGUAAACUAUGAUUACUCGUUAUUGGCGAUAUACAGUCAGUGACUAAGCGAAAGUGAUAAGUAAUCCACCUGGGGAGUACGAUCGCAAGGUUGAAACUCAAAGGAAUUGACGGGGGCCCGCACAAGCGGUGGAGCAUGUGGUUUAAUUCGAUGAUACGCGAGGAACCUUACCAGGGCUUAAAUGUAGAUUGCUUUAUUUGGAAACAGAUAUUUCUUCGGACAAUUUACAAGGUGCUGCAUGGCUGUCGUCAGCUCGUGCCG
RNAcentral lists this ribosomal RNA (287 nucleotides) under uncultured bacterium. Its description in RNAcentral is "partial 16S ribosomal RNA". It matches the Rfam family "Bacterial small subunit ribosomal RNA", at positions 775 to 1067 of the family's 1533-position model. The record is from RNAcentral.